Molecule: ribosomal RNA, 502 nt
Filed under: Diutina catenulata
Lineage: Eukaryota; Fungi; Ascomycota; Pichiomycetes; Serinales; Debaryomycetaceae
Description: eukaryotic LSU rRNA
Rfam family: Eukaryotic large subunit ribosomal RNA
Source: RNAcentral
UGCAUAUUCAAAAAGCGGAGGAAAAGAAACCAACCGGGAUUGCCUCAGUAACGGCGAGUGAAGCGGCAAAAGCUCAAAUUUGAAAUCCUUCGGGAGUUGUAAUUUGUAGAGGGGUGUCUUUGGGGCGGCAUUGUCUAUGUUCCUUGGAACAGGACGUCACAGAGGGUGAGAAUCCCGUGCGAUGAUGCCUCAACCAGUACAAGACCCUCUCGACGAGUCGAGUUGUUUGGGAAUGCAGCUCUAAGUGGGUGGUAAAUUCCAUCUAAAGCUAAAUACUGGCGAGAGACCGAUAGCGAACAAGUACAGUGAUGGAAAGAUGAAAAGCACUUUGAAAAGAGAGUGAAACAGUACGUGAAAUUGUUGAAAGGGAAGGGUAGGAGGUGAGGGGAAGAGCUGCUUAGGCGCGGGAGAUAAACAAGCAGGAAGCGCUUCGGUGCGGCCUGGUAAAUAUCCCGUGCUUGUGUGGUUCUUCCGUAAUCCCCUUCUACCGCCCGUCUUGAAC